GAUGAACGCUAGCUACAGGCUUAACACAUGCAAGUCGAGGGGCAUCAGGAAGAAAGCUUGCUUUCUUUGCCGGCGACCGGCGCACGGGUGAGUAACACGUAUCCAACCUGCCCUUUACUCGGGGAUAGCCUUUCGAAAGAAAGAUUAAUACCCGAUGGCAUAAUGAUUCCGCAUGGUUUCAUUAUUAAAGGAUUCCGGUAAAGGAUGGGGAUGCGUUCCAUUAGGUUGUUGGUGAGGUAACGGCUCACCAAGCCUUCGAUGGAUAGGGGUUCUGAGAGGAAGGUCCCCCACAUUGGAACUGAGACACGGUCCAAACCCCUACGGGAGGCAGCAGUGAGGAAUAUUGGUCAAUGGGCGGUAGCCUGAACCAGCCAAGUAGCGUGAAGGAUGAAGGCUCUAUGGGUCGUAAACUUCUUUUAUAUAAGAAUAAAGUGCAGUAUGUAUACUGUUUUGUAUGUAUUAUAUGAAUAAGGAUCGGCUAACUCCGUGCCAGCAGCCGCGGUAAUACGGAGGAUCCGAGCGUUAUCCGGAUUUAUUGGGUUUAAAGGGAGCGUAGGUGGACUGGUAAGUCAGUUGUGAAAGUUUGCGGCUCAACCGUAAAAUUGCAGUUGAUACUGUCAGUCUUGAGUACAGUAGAGGUGGGCGGAAUUCGUGGUGUAGCGGUGAAAUGCUUAGAUAUCACGAAGAACUCCGAUUGCGAAGGCAGCUCACUGGACUGCAACUGACACUGAUGCUCGAAAGUGUGGGUAUCANACAGG
This 758-nucleotide ribosomal RNA is filed under the name uncultured bacterium. RNAcentral describes it as "bacterial SSU rRNA". It matches the Rfam family "Bacterial small subunit ribosomal RNA", at positions 28 to 776 of the family's 1533-position model. The record is from RNAcentral.